GAUGAACGCUGGCGGCGUGCCUAAUACAUGCAAGUCGAGCGAACAGACGAGGAGCUUGCUCCUCUGACGUUAGCGGCGGACGGGUGAGUAACACGUGGAUAACCUACCUAUAAGACUGGGAUAACUUCGGGAAACCGGAGCUAAUACCGGAUAAUAUAUUGAACCGCAUGGUUCAAUAGUGAAAGUCGGUUUUGCUGUCACUUAUAGAUGGAUCCGCGGCGCAUUAGCUAGUUGGUAAGGUAACGGCUUACCAAGGCAACGAUGCGUAGCCGACCUGAGAGGGUGAUCGGCCAAACUGGAACUGAAACACGAUCCAGACUCCUACGGGAGGCAGCAGUAGGAAAUCUUGCGCAAUGGGAGAAAGCCUGACGGAGCAACGCCGCGGGAGUGAUGAAGGUCUUCGGAUCGUGAAACUCUGUUAUUAGGGAAGAACAAAUGUGUAAGUAACUAUGCACGUCUAGACGGUACCUAAUCAAAAAGCCACGGCUAACUACGUA
RNAcentral lists this ribosomal RNA (497 nucleotides) under uncultured bacterium. RNAcentral describes it as "partial 16S ribosomal RNA". It matches the Rfam family "Bacterial small subunit ribosomal RNA", at positions 28 to 507 of the family's 1533-position model. The record is from RNAcentral.